GAGAGUAUAGCUCAGUGGUAGAGUGCAUGCUUAGCAUGCAUGAGGUCCUGGGUUCAUUCCCCAGUACUGCCA
This 72-nucleotide transfer RNA is filed under the name Camelus bactrianus (Bactrian camel). It matches the Rfam family "tRNA". From Rfam's summary of the family: Transfer RNA (tRNA) molecules are approximately 80 nucleotides in length. Their secondary structure includes four short double-helical elements and three loops (D, anti-codon, and T loops). RNAcentral also lists the same sequence under 2 other names. Lineage: Eukaryota; Metazoa; Chordata; Mammalia; Artiodactyla; Camelidae. The record is from Rfam by way of RNAcentral.